Molecule: long non-coding RNA, 224 nt
Organism: Sitophilus oryzae (rice weevil)
Lineage: Eukaryota; Metazoa; Arthropoda; Insecta; Coleoptera; Curculionidae
Exons: 2
Source: RefSeq, a predicted model, not a curated record
AUUUUAUUUGAGAGGUUGGCUAAACUGGUGAAAGUGUCGUUACAGAUUUUUUCAAGAUUCUAUGUUGACCAGUGUAUACCAACCCUUUUCCUAAGAAGAUUUUUAAGACCGUUUUUUUACGAAGACCGCAUCCGAUGCGCCCGACCAUUACGCAAUAAAAUCUAACCUUGUUUUAUGGGGUGCACAAACCGCACAAGGUCACAAAUAUGGCCAUUAAACAGAGG